Molecule: ribosomal RNA, 468 nt
Filed under: uncultured bacterium
Lineage: Bacteria
Description: partial 16S ribosomal RNA
Rfam family: Bacterial small subunit ribosomal RNA
Source: RNAcentral
GACGAACGCUGGCGGCGUGCUUAACACAUGCAAGUCGAACGGAAAGGCCCGGCUUUUGUGGGGUGCUCGAUUGGCGAACGGGUGAGUAACACGUGAGUAACCUCCCCUUGACUUUGGGAUAACUUCAGGAAACUGGGGCUAAUACCGGAUAGGAUCUCCUGCUGCAUGGUGGGGGUUGGAAAGUUUCGGCGGUUGUGGAUGGAUUCGCUGCUUAUCAGCUUGUUUGUGGGGUAGGUGCGUACCAAGGCUUUGAGGGGUAGCCGGCCUGACAGGGUUACCGGCCACAUUGGGCCUGAGAUACGGCACAGACUCCUACGGUACGCAGUAGUGGGGAAUAUUGCACAAUGGGCGGAAGCCAGAUGCAGAAACGCCGCGUGCGGGAUGACGGCCUUCGGGUUGUAAACCGAUUUCGAAUGUAACGAAGCGUGAGUGACGGUAAUGGGUAAAGAAGCACCGGCUAACUACGUG